Molecule: ribosomal RNA, 465 nt
Filed under: uncultured bacterium
Lineage: Bacteria
Description: bacterial SSU rRNA
Rfam family: Bacterial small subunit ribosomal RNA
Source: RNAcentral
AUUGAACGCUGGCGGCAUGCCUUACACAUGCAAGUCGAACGGCAGCACGGGAGCAAUCCUGGUGGCGAGUGGCGAACGGGUGAGUAAUAUAUCGGAACGUGCCCAGUCGUGGGGAUAACGUAGCGAAAGCUACGCUAAUACCGCAUACGAUCUAUGGAUGAAAGCGGGGGAUCGCAAGACCUCGCGCGAUUGGAGCGGCCGAUAUCAGAUUAGGUAGUUGGUGAGGUAAAGGCUCACCAAGCCGACGAUCUGUAGCUGGUCUGAGAGGACGACCAGCCACACUGGGACUGAGACACGGCCCAGACUCCUACGGGAGGCAGCAGUGGGGAAUUUUGGACAAUGGGCGCAAGCCUGAUCCAGCAAUGCCGCGUGCAGGAUGAAGGCCCUACGGGUUGUAAACUGCUUUUGUACGGAACGAAAGGUUUCUAUUAAUACUAGGAGCUCAUGACGGUACCGUAAGAAUAA